CUUGAAGGAGGGUGUGUGUGUGUGUGUGUGCCCUUGAAGGAGGGUGUGUAUGUGUGUGUGUGUAUGUGUGUGUGUGUGUGACCAAGAGCACUGAGGGAAGGACUGCCCUUGAAGGGGAGUGUGUGUGUGUAUGUGUUAGUGACCAUGUGUCUGUGUGUGUUCGUUAAUGACCAAGUGUGUGUAUUUGUGUGUGUGUUUGUUAAUGACUGUGUUUGUGUGUGUUCAUUAGCGACCAAGUGACCAGCCCUCACCAAGUCCUUUAGAAACUGGGAGCUCACAGUCUGGCCCCUGGGCAGCCUCCUUCAUUCAUUAGGAAACUAGAACCUUCUGCGUUAAAUAGAGCAUUUUGUUUGAAUGAAGAUUUUUCCCGUCUGUGCACGCAGACACGGCGGCCGCAGGAGAUGCGUGGAUUCAAAGGCUUCCUCCAGCCUGUGGGUGCUGGGGAGGGGAUGGGAGCAUAAGCAGUCCAUACCACUGCCUCCUUUGUCUGAAGGGGGACUGGAUAUGGAGGAUGUGCUUUCCCCUUUCUCUCCAAGUUCCAGGGGGAACCUUGAACCUGAGGUAGAAGCUAUUCAGACUCAAUGAUUACAGGCAACAAGGAGAGAAAUCUUCUAGGGCCCAGCCUUCAGCUGGCAACACCAGCAUUCAUCUUGUUUUUCUGGAGAAAGUAGGAGAUGUCAGUCCUGACCAUGGUGUAAGACUCGGGGAACUUCAGAGGGGCCCCAGAGCAGCUCCUCACCUUGCUCAUCUUGCCUCCUCUCUGCCUCUCAGCUGCCCGGAAUUGACUAUAUCAUCCUAAGCUAAUUUUUUCCUCUGCCUCUUCAUCUGGAGACUCCCCCAGAGCAGCAUUAACUCAGGCAAAGCCCCAAACCUCCCUGGGCCUAUUUACCUCUAAAAAAAAGUCCCUGGUUGAGAAGUUCAAGUUGAAUGUGGAUGCAAAAGCAUUUUUUAAACCAUAGUACAUUGAAGAAUAUGAUUGUUCUCCUUGGGAGGGCAGGGGUGCUGAAUUGAGGCUAGCCUGGAUUCAUCCUCCUAUCUAUGGUAGAGACAUCAAACUAGCAGACCUUGGAGUCCCAGAGCACCUCCAAAGUGAAAAUGUGUCUGAAGAGAUGCUGCUUGUGGAAGCAGAGUUCUUCACUUUGCUGGGCUUCAGAACUCCCGUUGGAUCUGGAAAUGCCAAGUGGAUGGGGAUUGUAUUAAGUGGCCUCAAAGGCCCUCCAUCUUCCUCAGACUCCAAGAGGCUGAAUGACUCACCCAAAGGUCAGCUCGGAAGCCAUGCAAAUGCGGAAGCUGCUUAGGUGCUUCAGAUAGAGAUGAGUUUCCAAGACUGGGACCUAGUUGCCACUAAUUAGACAUGGCAUGACUGCAGAGACUUAGCAGCAGCAGCAGACAUGGCACAUGAGAUUUCAGUUUGAAAGAGAAUGUCAUGAAGAAGACAGUGCCAUGAAGAGAGCAUUCUGUUGCAGGAGGCAGAGGCAGCAGGGCGAGAGGUCCUGGUAAUAGCUUCCCAGGCCGGGUUGGCAGGGAGAGCCAUGGGGCCAGCUCCCGUGGAGCAGUCUGGUGGUGCAGCCUGGCCACUGUUCCUGCAAACCCUCCUAGCUUGACUCUCUGUCUUUCUAGAAAUCCCUAGAGACACCACAAAUUUCUUUACUAAGCUUUCUUUCCUGCUUCCAUGAGC
Bos taurus (domestic cattle) is the source of this 1678-nucleotide long non-coding RNA. The record is from Ensembl. Lineage: Eukaryota; Metazoa; Chordata; Mammalia; Artiodactyla; Bovidae.